GAUGAACGCUAGCUACAGGCUUAACACAUGCAAGUCGAGGGGCAUCACAGUGUAGCAAUACACGGGUGGCGACCGGCGCACGGGUGCGUAACACGUAUCCAAUCUGCCCGUUACUCGGGGGAUAGCCUUCUGAAAGGAAGAUUAAUACCCGAUGGCAUGUAUUUCCGGCAUCGGAGAUACAUUAAAGAUUUAUCGGUAACGGAUGAGGAUGCGUACGAUUAGCUGGUUGGCGGGGUAACGGCCCACCAAGGCUACGAUCGUUAGGGUUCUGAGAGGAAGGUCCCCCACACUGGAACUGAGACACGGUCCAGACUCCUACGGGAGGCAGCAGUGAGGAAUAUUGCGCAAUGGGGGGCAACCCGUGACGCAGCAACGCCGCGUGAAGGAUGAAGGUCUUGGAUUGUAAACUUUUGUCUUUAGGGACG
RNAcentral lists this ribosomal RNA (425 nucleotides) under uncultured bacterium. Its description in RNAcentral is "bacterial SSU rRNA". It matches the Rfam family "Bacterial small subunit ribosomal RNA", at positions 28 to 447 of the family's 1533-position model. The record is from RNAcentral.